CUUUUAUAUUAUAAAUUGCAUGCCUCUAUAUGUAUAGUUAUAUAAGAAAUGUUUAAAAGACUUAGGAAGGCUAUCCACCCUAUUUCCUUUUCGCGCCUUGAGAUGUGGUCUGGUGGGAUAUUGGAUACUCGUCCGAAGGUCGUUUAAAUAUUAGUUAUAUAUCAUGUGUACAUAUAAAGUCAUAAAAGGUUCUUCCAGUUCAUCCUAUGCCCUUGGGUAGCAAGGGUAUACAUCCACGUCCAUACGUACCACUUAGAUUACUAGUAAGCUACCAUUUGGGUAGUUCAGGAAGAUACUAGAACUAUUACUAGAACACGAUAUCAUACAACGAGUCAGUUCAUUCAUGAGUCAAUACUUUCUAGAACGUUGCUGUGCAAUACAUAUACAUCUAUAUUAGGACGAGAACAUAUACAAUUAUACUAGAACACUUACAUGACAAUACUUGCUAGAUAAAGAGAUCACACAUUACAGCUAGCACACGUAGAACAUUUCAGUACACCAUAAGUACAAUUACAUGAUCACACUUACAUGAGUACGCUUUCAUAUACAUAGGAUAGACGUCAUUAGGGGCUAUAGCUCAGAACCAGUUUAGGAUCUAACUAUACUGAUAAAACACACUACGAUUGUGAUUGUUAUAUCGAGUAUACAUGAUCGCAGGUAAUGUGGUGCUCACGGCUUGCAUUCAUGCAGGGGUCGUGUGUGGGUCCUAAAAUCCCUCUGAUAGGGGAGCGAAACAGUCUGGGAUCUAGACAUCACAUUAUACCUUAUCCAUCAAAUAAGGCAAGUUGAGUAUCGGUGUAUUGAUAUAUAUACCUAUAUAUAUAUAUAAAUACUGUGGUACUUGGUAGGUUUACCCUAGAUUUAAGGUAAUAGGUACGGUUGUAGUUCGACACUACACCAUAGUACCAUUCCUUUCCCAUUACAUUCACUUCGCGAAUUUUCAUAGGAAGCGCGGCAAUGUAGAUGCUAUCUGUUGAUAAAUAGUAGCCCUUUUAGAGCUACGAUUUAGUACUACGUUAAUUUUUCCAGUACAUAUUUCAGUGAUAACCUCACUUAAACAUAAAUAUACAAUCUAUAUUUUGAGUAAUGAUAGUUAUACUUUGGAAAAAUACAUACUCUUACAAGAGACACACACACACAGAACAGUUAAGUCUUGGUAGAAGACUCCUUUUGUUACUAAUAGGAAUCAUAGGGAUUUCUAGGGAUUUUCAAACAUAUACAGUUGAGCUACAAAUAUUUUCAUACUUAUACUCGUUUUCUUUCAAAGCAAUGUCAAGUCUUAGAAAUUAUAAGUUUUCACAAAUUAAGACACAUUAAUACUUAUGAUCUCACCAGCUUUAAAGCUGAUACUCGCUUUCAAAAUUACUUGUAUCCUCAGGUCAUCAUAGACAGGUACCGAUGCAAGGAAAACGGAAGAUGGAGCUUAUUCAAGACUUAUCUUUCAUUUUGAUUUAUGCUUUAGUGUUUAUCAAAAUUUGACAGAAUACAAUUGUAUAAUAAUUAUUUUAUUAAUGCAAUGGAUGAUGUUGUUGCUUGUUUACUACUUUACAUUGUUGUUGAUAUUAUACAUGACGUCCUCCGCCCCAGAACGUUUCCGCCGUUCUCGGUUUUGGGGUGUGACAGAUUGGUAUCAGAGCAUUGUUUAUAGUGAAUUGAGUAUAUCAACCCAUAAAAGAUAUACUAACUAUAAAUACAAUGGGAUUAAAAAUACUCUGAUUUAGAGUUUAUACUUUAAAUAAUAAAAUAUUUAAGUAAGUAUACGUGCCUGCAUUCAUACUAAAAUCAGUGUCACUAGGACAGUACAAAAGAAUUACGAUUGUUGGGCAACACAAGUGUGCUUAGAGACAUAUGGUCAAAACUGGGAAGAUAUAGCCUGAUCGCCUAUAUUAUCCGAGGGUUGACUAGCAUGUGCCUAAGUUUAAGUGUGUGGUUGCAACAAUGCUAAAAUCUUACCAACCCUACCACAAUGAGAACAAUAGAACAUAACAUAAAAAUUUUAAAUACUAUAGGAGUAUUUGGUGUUACUAUAAGUACUUUAUACUUGAGAAUUAAAAUGGAAUCCUCAUUACUAGGUUGAUAGUUGCUAAGUGGAUACACUAAGGCUACAUGUAAUUAGGAUGUUAUAGACUUAGAAUCAGUGGUAAUUUUGCCUUACCCCUAUUCUGUGUGAAUUUGGAAAUAAGGUCACUUAUUCGAAGGUCUAUCCUGUUUAGAUUACACAUAGCUGGUAUGCACUUCACAAUUAGCGAUGUAACUAAUGAAGGUUUUCUAAAUAAUUAUCUAGAUAGUUCAUCUAAUAAUUAUCCUCUUACCCUAAGUUCUCGCAUAAAAAUCAUAGCUGGACUCCAUUCCCUUGACAACCAGUACCUUCCGAAUGAAGUCAUAGCUGGUUGGUUUGGAGAAGAACCAGAGAAUGAUCAUCCUAUCCCCUUGGAUGAUCACCGUAAUGAAGACUUUUCGUACGAUGCUAACCCCGAGCCAGAGGUUGAGAACCUACCCCGAGUAGCUCCCGUUUCAAAUUCCUAACCCUCUUCCGGCUUUUCAUGGCCUGACCCUGAGUGAGUGGAAUGCUUGGAAACAUGGAGCCAAGAACAAGAUCAGCCCAUGCCAUUUAUUCGCAACCGAAACUUUUACGACGUGAGCAAUAAGGGCUUAGCAGAUAUAGUCUUGCCAAUCUUGGUCCGCAGAGAGGCCAGAAUUGAGAUUCAAGGCAGGACAGCCUGCAUCAGAAUUCAGAAGAAGUCGCAUAUGCUAGAAUGCAUACCCUCCAAACCCUUCUUCUAGAGGAUGUUCACGAGAGAUCAGAUAGAAACCACGAAACCCUGCUGCAAGCACUAGCUGAAUCACAAGCCGAAGUCAUAGGACUCCGAGUACGCCAGAUGGUGUGCGAAAGACACCUACUUGACAAUGGAACGUCAAUUGGUUGAACUAAGAGUGCACCAGAGGGAUGACCGUCGCCCGUAGUAGACGCUUUACUUAUUUCCCUUAUAAAAAGGAAUCGUUUUCUGUCUAUGCCCGAUGUGGCAUUUUCUAUGAAAUUAUCUUGUUCAGUACGAACUUUAGUUAGGUCUUUAUGCUGUCAGGAACUACCUUCUGGGGAUAUGAUGUGAGACCUUUAAAAGGUCGUUUUCCAAAACCCUUACAUCGUGAAUAUCAAAGAUAUUGACAGCCGGCUAACUGUUGCGUCAUUCUUCAUUUCAAGUACUUUUAUCUUACUUUCAUUAGAGUCCAUUUAAAUCAUACUUUAGUCAAGUCAUUGGACUAUAGUAAUUUAUCUACGGAGACACUUCCAAGUCUCUUUCAGUGGUUGGAUCUUGUUAUUCACCAACCCACGAUACCUCAGUUCGAACGACAAACGUCUUGAGACCAUUCUACGAACAUACUUCCAUUCCGUACCAGGACUGUAUCAUGNCAUUCAAGUACUUUUAUCUUACCUUCAUUCGAGUCUAUCUGAAACAUGCUUUAGUCAAGUCAUUGGACUAUGGUGAUUUAUUCAGGAGACACUUCCAAGUCUCCUUCAGUGGUUGGAUCUUGUUAUUCACCAACCCACGAUACCUCAGCUCGAACGACAAACGUCUUGUGACCAUUCUACGAUCAUACUUCCAUUCCGUACUAGGACUGCAUCAUAGGGAUGUAGGUCAAACUUUAGAGAUCAUACUCUUACUCUUUUCAUGAACAAUCUAAGUACAUCAGGGUCAACCAUAAUCGCUUACAAAUCUUUACUCUUUCAUGUUACAGAAUCAUGGCGUCGUCCGGAAACAACCAGCCAAGCAACGAGACCUCUACUUUUCCGAUGGACGCCGCCACCUUUCAAACGACAGUUACAGCUGCUGUAGUGGCGGCCGUAACCGCGGUCAUGGCGCACCGUAGCGCUAACAGCACAGUCAAUGCUGCUAAUGGGAAUAAAGUUUCCAAUCGCAAUAUCCAUCCAGGAAGUCAUCCAACAGUAACAUCCACAGGCUCGCAAAGCCAGAAAGCAGAGAACAAGAAAAGAAAAUGUCAAGCCAAAGUGGAACGCAAACGGUUUCAGAAAAUUGCCAGACAGCAGCCACAAACCUCUGCCAUCCCAGUACCGAGCAGACCAUAUAAGGGAACACUCUCGAAGUGCGACCGGUGCAAUUUCCACCACGAGGGAAUGUGCCAAGUCUUGCAGUACGUGAACUGCAACAAGAAAGGACACAUCGCCCGUUUCUGUAAAGCUACCUUCACCACUAGGGCCAGCCUAAAUUGCUAUAACUGUGGUGAGUUUGGGCACUAUAAAAGAGAUUGCCCAAAGAAGGAAAACAAGGAAAGCACCCGUGUUCCCAUAACUCCUACCCUACACUUCACUUCCUCCACUGAUGUGAGUACUAGCCAGUCAUGCCACCAAUGCGGUGAGUUAGGGCACUUCAAGAAGGAUUGCCCGAUAAUGCAGAACCCUGGCGCAGACGGGAAGAUUCCCAGGAUCACAGCUGCAGGAGAGCCUGCUCAGGAACCACGUUAAUGUAUUUAAGGCGUUUCGUUGUAACAGACUUAUAAACUAUCUAGAACUAGUGCAACUAGAGUCUUACCUUUUGCGAGAUCCUGUCUGUAUAGGAAUUCUCGUGCUGCGUAUACUUGUCUUUUGUAGUAUAUCUUAUUCGCAGCAAUAGUCUUGUGGUAAAUCUAAAGUACUGUAACUCUGUUCAUGGUUGCACAGUUGUGUUUUGUCUGUAAUCGUCUAUGUUUAAUUCUAAUGUCUUUAAAGUUUCUGUAUGAUUCCGACAUUAUCAUACAAUCAGAUUCAAUUUGAUCGAUGCGAAAACAGCUUCAUGCGUACAUCUCUUUCUUCUAGAUCACUUUUUCAGCGAAGCCGUCAUAUCAGAACACCGAAGUACUCAUUCCAGGAGUACCCCUUAGUUAUUUUUCUUGCCGAAGAAAUCCCCGAAGUACCACUCGUGCAGUACGUCAAGUUCAAUCCAAGGAUUCAUAUGAUUGAUCUAUCACUGAGAAUGGUAUACAUAAGAGUGAUAUAUAAUCAAGCUUCUACAGGCAUAGAAUUGAUGAUUCCACUUUAACUUCUUUUUCCCCGAUGGGAUGUGAGCUUAAAGAAGAAUCAGUUAUUCGACUACCUUUUCAACCUUGAUUAUAUGCAACUCGUAUAACCGAAAGUGUGAUGGUGAUACCAUAUAUGAAUUCUAAUAUGAACUUCAGGACGGAGAAACUGCCUAAGUAUACGAGUAAUCACAUCGUCAUGUGAAUAAACUUAGAACCCAGUACAACUCCCGAAAACAGAUCGCCCUAUAGCUUAAACACCCACAGAGAUACAAGAACAACACGAGCAACUUGACGAACCACACAUAAAUAGAAUUAGAAGACUAGGUUUCUCACCCUAGAGAACCCCGGUCAGAUUCUUCCAGAGGUUGAUGGAUCGCAUCGUAGGUGCCUCGGUUAUCGAGGAAUCCGUCAAGAUUUUCAUAGNGCGUUAUCUCUGCCUCGCAUAUACAAAAUGGUUGAGCAAACGUAAGGAAAGAAUCUACUUCCAGGAAUGGAUCUGGAAUCCGAAUAUCACCAGUUCGAGUGUUAGGGGAGGAUGUCCGGAAGACUAUCUCCUGAACCCGAUACGGACACUUCGAGUUCGUAGUGAUACCUUUCGGAUAGGACCAGUACGCCCAUGGUUUUCAUGAGUUAAAUGAAGGGUCACGUCUUUCUUACUUGGAUGAAUUUGUCAUUUUCCCCAUGAGAUGACUUACUUAUCUACCCUCGUAGUAAGAAGAAAGCCCAUGGUAACAAUCCUACAGUGGAACUUUUAGCAAAGUUCUCUAGGCACGAGUUUUGAAAUUGAAGAGUCAAAUUUCUAGGACACACUGAUAGUAAUGUGUGAAAUUUUGAGUACUCUUUCAAUUUGNUCCUUAAUCACGUCAUUUUAAUAAAUAAAUAAUAAAAAUAAUUUCGGAAUUUGCCAACGGAAUCUAAACGAAAGUUGUAGAUCAUGGUCUCACCUUCGCGUGGAUAUAAAGAACGUCAAAAACGGAGUUCGUAUGAGGGAGAUAUGAAUUUUAGAAGUUUAAUUAAAAUAAAUAUGAAUUUAAUUAUAAAUUCCCGGUAUUAUCCGAAGGGGAGUCAUCGGAUAGGACCGAAGUACGCCCUGCGUACCUUCGUACGCCCCGCGUACUGAGAUCGAGGGUCUCGGAUCGUCCACGUCGCACUAUCCGAAGAAUCUAACCCGUCCGACCCGUCCGAAGCUCCGACCCGUCCGACCCGCUGUCCCGUCCGACCCGCCGUCCCAUCCGACCCGCGUACCCAGCAACCCGUCCCAUCCGAACCGAGGCAGUCGAGGCUUCGGUCACGCAUGACGUACGCGUACGCGCUGCGUACGAGCGUACGCCCCGCGUUCGGAGGCGGUUCAGCCUUCCUAUAAAUAGGAUGCGAGGCUUUCCGAAAAAGUUGCUCAAUUCUCUCAUUUCUCUCUCGAUCUUGCCUCGUUUUCCGUGCCCGUUAUAACCCGAAGCUCUGGUCUUUUUGCUCAAGUCCCGAGGGUCGAUUUUACUCCCGAGAUUCCCGAGAAUCCUGAGAAAAAUCCGUUUCCCGAGACGAAACUCUGUCCGGUUUUCCAUCUCGCUAUCUUCAAACUUUCAUGUGAGUUCAUACCCCUUAAAUAAUGUUUUAAACUACUUUUAAAUGCUUUAUGGGGGGGAGGAUACAAGUAGAAUCAUAUUACUUAUUGUAUCAAUCACAUGUAAUUAAUAUACAACAUUCAAAAGAUUUGGCUACUCAUUAGCCGUUUUACCAAACAGUUUCCUUCAAAUGAUUUUUAUAAACAUUUUAUAUGUUUUAAACUCCUUAUUACACUGUACCUCUUACUCUGUUUAUCAUAUUUCAAACUUAUUUACAACUGUGUUUCAAAAAAAUGUUCCUUAUACUUAUAUUGUUUUAUCAAACUUAUGCCUUCAAAUUGUUUUAUAGAUUGACAUCAAGUCGAUCUUUCUUUAAACUAAUAUUUAUGUUUCAAAUGUUUUACCAAACUUAUUUAUGCUUUUAUAUUAUAAAUUGCAUGCCUCUAUAUGUAUAGUUAUAUAAGAAAUGUUUAAAAGACUUAGGAAGGCUAUUCACCCUAUUUCCUUCUUCUCGAUUUGAAUAUGGUCUGGUGGGAUAUCAGAUACUCAUCCGAAGGUCGUUUAAAUAUUAGUUAUAUAUCAUGUAUACAUAUAAAGUCAUAAAAGGUCCUUCCAGUUCAUCCUAUGCCCUUGGGUAGCAAGGGUAUACAUCCACGUCCAUACGUACCACUUAGAUUACUAGUAAGCUACCAUAUGGGUAGUUCAGGAAGAUACUAGAACCAUUACUAGAACGCGAUAUCAUACAAUGAGUCAGUUCAUUCAUGAGUCAAUACUUUCUAGAACAUUACUGUACAAUACAUAUACAUCUAUACUAGGACGAGAACAUAUACAAUUAUACUAGAACGCUUACAUGACAAUACUUGCUAGAUAGAGAGAACACACAUUACAGCUAGCACACGUAGAACAUUUCAGUACACCAUAAGUACAAUUACAUGAUCACACUUACAUGAGUACGCUUUCAUAUACAUAGGAUAGACGUCACUAGGGGCUAUAGCUCAGAACCAGUUUAGGAUCUAACUAUACUGAUAAAACACACUACGAUUGUGAUUGUUAUAUCGAGUAUACAUGAUCGCAGGUAAUGUGAUGCUCACGGCUUGCAUUUAUGCAGGGGUCGUGUGUAGGUCCUAAAAUCCCUUUGAUAGGGGAGCGAAACAGUCUGGGAUCUAGACAUCACAUUAUACCUUAUCCAUCAAAUAAGGCAAGUUGAGUAUCGGUGUAUUGAUAUAUAUAUUUAUAUAUAUCCAAAUACUGUGGUACUUGGUAGUAUUACCCUAGAUUUAAGGUAAUAGGUACGGUUGUAGUUCGACACUACACCAUAGUACCAUUUCUUUCCCAUUACAUUCACUUCGUGAAUUUUUCAUAGGAAGCGCGGUAAUGUAGAUGCUAUCUGUUGAUAAAUAGUAGCCCUUUUAGAGCUACGAUUUAGUACUACGUUAAUUUUUCCAGUACAUAUUUCAGUGAUAACCUCACUUAAACAUAAAUAUACAAUCUAUAUUUUGAGUAAUGAUAGUUAUACUUUGGAAAAAUACAUACUCUUACAAGAGACACAC
Molecule: long non-coding RNA, 8125 nt
Filed under: Lactuca sativa (garden lettuce)
Lineage: Eukaryota; Viridiplantae; Streptophyta; Magnoliopsida; Asterales; Asteraceae
Description: long non-coding RNA (LSAT_LNC004134)
Source: RNAcentral